UACGUAGGAGGCGAGCGUUGUCCGGAUUUACUGGGCGUAAAGCGCGCGCAGGCGGCAUGGCAAGUAAGGUGUGAAAUCUCCCUGCCUAACGGGGAGGGUGCAUUUUAGACUGCCAAGCUAGAGGACGGUAGAGGGGGGUAGAAUUGCUGGUGUAGCGGUGAAAUGCGUAGAGAUCAGCAGGAAUACCCGUGGCGAAGGCGGCCCCCUGGGCCGACCCUGACGCUGAGGCGCGAAGGCUAGGGGAGCGAACGGGAUUAGAUACCCCGGUAGUCCUAGCAGUAAACGAUGACCACUAGGUGUGGGGGGUGUUGACCCCUUCCGUGCCGAAGCCAACGCAUUAAGUGGUCCGCCUGGGGAGUACGGUCGCAAGACUAAA
This 376-nucleotide ribosomal RNA is filed under the name uncultured bacterium. RNAcentral describes it as "bacterial SSU rRNA". It matches the Rfam family "Bacterial small subunit ribosomal RNA", at positions 524 to 898 of the family's 1533-position model. The record is from RNAcentral.